UAGGGAAUAUUGGUCAAUGGGUGAGAGCCUGAACCAGCCAUGCCGCGUGCAGGAAGAAGGCCUUCUGGGUUGUAAACUGCUUUUGCCAGGGGAUAAAAUAGCUUUGCGAAGCAAAUUGAAGGUACCUGGUGAAUAAGCCACGGCUAACUACGUGCCAGCAGCCGCGGUAAUACGUAGGUGGCAAGCGUUGUCCGGAUUUAUUGGGUUUAAAGGGUGCGUAGGCGGUUCUAUAAGUCAGUGGUGAAAUACUCCGGCUCAACCGGAGAGGUGCCAUUGAUACUGCAGGACUUGAGUACAGACGAGGUAGGCGGAAUUGACGGUGUAGCGGUGAAAUGCUUAGAUAUCGUCAAGAACACCGAUAGCGAAGGCAGCUUACUAGACUGUAACUGACGCUGAGGCACGAAAGUGUGGGGAUCAAACAGGAUUAGAUACCCUCGUAGUCCCUGAGCGGGCUGGCAAGGCGCAU
This 466-nucleotide ribosomal RNA is filed under the name uncultured bacterium. RNAcentral describes it as "bacterial SSU rRNA". It matches the Rfam family "Bacterial small subunit ribosomal RNA", at positions 355 to 825 of the family's 1533-position model. The record is from RNAcentral.